GUUCAGUUGGUAGAGCAUGGUGUUUGCAACGCCAGGGUUGUGGGUUCGAUUCCCAC
This is a non-coding RNA of Salmo salar (Atlantic salmon), 56 nucleotides long. The record is from Rfam. Lineage: Eukaryota; Metazoa; Chordata; Actinopteri; Salmoniformes; Salmonidae.